Chenopodium quinoa (quinoa) is the source of this 430-nucleotide long non-coding RNA. RefSeq lists it as uncharacterized. The record is from RefSeq and is a predicted model, not a curated record. NCBI's taxonomy places the organism in Eukaryota, Viridiplantae, Streptophyta, Magnoliopsida, Caryophyllales, Amaranthaceae. The transcript has 2 exons.
CACAAGUUAAUGAAUUUGUUGGAAAUAAUUGAUGUGACAAAGGGAAUUUGUGCUUCCUUGUUGGCUGCUGCCUCUUUGCUUUGUUGUCUGCUGUAUGCUGUCUUUCUCCGUUGCUUAGAUGGUUGCUGACUUGUUGCUGGUCUUGUUGCUGGCUGAUGGUGUGCUCAGCUGCUGCCUGCUGAUGGUGUGCUCAGCUGCUGCCUGUUGCUGCCCUUCCUUUUCUUCCCUUUUUUUUUCUGAACUUUUAUUUAAGUAGUUGUUUUGGUUAUGUUUGGAUGUUUGGACUUUGCAGCAUUGUUGAAGUUUGUUGUACUGAUAUUUUAGGUUGUUGAAUUGGUACUUUUUGGCUUAUUAGUUUGUAAUAUUUGUAUUUUGAAAUAUUUGUAUUUUGCUAGCCUCCAAAACUAAUUUAGGGAUAUUAUUAUGUUAA